Molecule: ribosomal RNA, 522 nt
Filed under: uncultured Tistrella sp.
Lineage: Bacteria; Pseudomonadati; Pseudomonadota; Alphaproteobacteria; Geminicoccales; Geminicoccaceae
Description: bacterial SSU rRNA
Rfam family: Bacterial small subunit ribosomal RNA
Source: RNAcentral
AAGCCUGAUCCAGCAAUGCCGCGUGAGUGAUGAAGGUCUUCGGAUUGUAAAGCUCUUUCGACGGGGAAGAUAAUGACGGUACCCGUAGAAGAAGCCCCGGCUAACUUCGUGCCAGCAGCCGCGGUAAUACGAAGGGGGCUAGCGUUGUUCGGAUUUACUGGGCGUAAAGCGUGCGUAGGCGGCUUAUCAAGUCAGAAGUGAAAGCCCGGGGCUCAACUCCGGAACUGCUUUUGAGACUGGUAGGCUGGAGUUCGGGAGAGGGUAGUGGAAUUCCCAGUGUAGAGGUGAAAUUCGUAGAUAUUGGGAAGAACACCGGUGGCGAAGGCGGCUGCCUGGCCCGAAACUGACGCUGAGGCACGAAAGCGUGGGGAGCAAACAGGAUUAGAUACCCUGGUAGUCCACGCCGUAAACGAUGAGUGCUGGACGUUGGGAUACUUAGUAUCGCAGUGUCGUAGCUAACGCGUUAAGCACUCCGCCUGGGGAGUACGGCCGCAAGGUUAAAACUCAAAGGAAUUGACGGGG